UAGGUUGACCAACCAUCCCAGUUUACCUAGAGUUGCAGAGUUGCCAAGGACAUGGUGCUUCCAGUGCUAAUCUGGAACAAUCCUGGGCAAGCCAGGAUGGUUGGGUCAUAAGACAUU
Molecule: microRNA precursor, 117 nt
Filed under: Marmota monax (woodchuck)
Lineage: Eukaryota; Metazoa; Chordata; Mammalia; Rodentia; Sciuridae
Source: RNAcentral